This 259-nucleotide ribosomal RNA is filed under the name uncultured bacterium. Its description in RNAcentral is "partial 16S ribosomal RNA". It matches the Rfam family "Bacterial small subunit ribosomal RNA", at positions 793 to 1055 of the family's 1533-position model. The record is from RNAcentral.
GUCCACGCUGUAAACGAUGGAUACUAGGUGUAGGGGCGAUAGUCCUCUGUGCCGCAGCUAACGCAAUAAGUAUCCCGCCUGGGGAGUACGAUCGCAAGGUUGAAACUCAAAGGAAUUGACGGGGGCCCGCACAAGCAGCGGAGCAUGUGGUUUAAUUCGAAGCAACGCUAAGAACCUUACCAAGGCUUGACAUCCUCUGACGCAUGUAGAAAUACAUGUUCCCUUCGGGGCAGAGUGACAGGUGGUGCAUGGUUGUCGU